GGGGGGCUUCUGGAACAUGACAGUAUCCUGGAAAAGAGCUUCCUGCAGCUGCACUUCAGAGUGAAGGUUUAUGGCCCCCUGUGUGGACACACAGCAGAAAGAGAUGUGGCUACAGAUAAAUAUACUCUUUCAGCAACAGGAUCCCAGCUGGCCUCUGGACUCUGUCUCUGUCCCCUUCCACUUCUGGUCAGACCUUGAAGUGCAGUGGAACCGGCAAACCGACUGGACAACGUCACUCGCAACCGCUUCUACACACCAAACAACAGUAGCCAUGGAAACACACAUAUUUGUUUCUAGCUCUUCAUCAUGAAGGAAAUCAUUAGAUGUAAUGAUUUUUUUUAAAUCCACACUAAUUUAACAAAAGAGACCCAGAAUUUAAAAAAACGUUUUAACACAAUGUACAUUGAUAACAGUGUAAUAAAGCUUGCCUUUUGCUCUUUUGCAGCUGGAAGGAAUAAAUAAAACAUAGGAGGCCAUAACGAUUUUGUUUGAUAAACCAUGAGUGCCAUGAAAAAAAUAUAGCUAAAUUGGUGAAAUCAAAAAAGGUCACUUGUCAAAAUCAAAUCAGUAUGCAUACCCAAAACACUGGGAAUAUUGAACAGAUACUGUGAGUGCUUCAUCAUCAAACAUUUUUAUUUCACUUCUGUGUCUUACAUUCUCUUUAUUCGCUUCCCUCGUCCCCUGUGACUUCCGUGUAUUUUGUCCCUGCAAAUCCAGGAAGACAUUCCAUUGCUUAAACAUGCAAUAAAACCAUGAACAACCA
Molecule: long non-coding RNA, 763 nt
Organism: Anguilla rostrata (American eel)
Lineage: Eukaryota; Metazoa; Chordata; Actinopteri; Anguilliformes; Anguillidae
Exons: 3
Source: RefSeq, a predicted model, not a curated record